This is a long non-coding RNA of Drosophila mojavensis, 1836 nucleotides long. RefSeq lists it as uncharacterized. NCBI's taxonomy places the organism in Eukaryota, Metazoa, Arthropoda, Insecta, Diptera, Drosophilidae. The transcript has 2 exons. The record is from RefSeq and is a predicted model, not a curated record.
UGUCCGCUGCAAUUUCCAGCACUACUAACAGCUGUUAGAGUGAAUGCACCUGAUUUUUAUUAAUUGCGCAAGUUUGACGCUUAGUGACAAAACUUUUCGCGCUAGAAAAAGAAAAGGAAAGAGAAAGGCCCUGACACCAAAACAAUAACGCUAUUGCCCCCCUCUCUUGCACCACUGGAUUCUACCAUCGGGGUACUCCACGAACCGCCGCGCAGUGUCUCUCGUAGCUUUCGAGGUCGCUGGGUACGUUGCGCCCACAGCAUAUACGUUUUCUUUAGAUAUUUCCACUUUCGCAGGGAAAAACUCGGAACAAGCUAUAGUCAACGAUGGAUCACAAAAACAUCGACCGCACUCCACGAAAACGCAACUCGAACACGUGUGUAUGUGUGUGUGCGUGCGUGUUUCUUGUACAACAAUGCCACGAAAACGCAACGGGGUAAUUUGAGUCGUCGACCACUCAAAUCUAGAAGCAUGCAAGAUAACAGACCACAAAGGGCAGAUGAAGAUAGGCAACAAAGCAAUGCAGAUGUCCGUGUAAGCAUGGCUCAGUUACGUGUAUCACAAUCGCAAGAGGCACGAGAUGAGCGAAACCAGCAAAGCCAAUUCAGCGAAGAGAAGCGCGCAGAUUCGUAGUCAACAGCCGUAGAGGAAUUGACCGACAACGUCAACAAGUAAAUCGAGCAUAAAUGCUGUAAACAGCACAUUCAUUUCUUCACCUAGCAUUUCACCAUGAGCCUGAUAUUGAAUAUUACGCUCAUUCCAAAGUGGUCAUUGCUACAUUGGACAAGGAAUGCCCGCACUGUAUGUCUUUAAAUUUAAAAAGUAAUACUCCCAUAAAUUGAAACACCGCCGGAACCGGCACGGCUUCCUUAUUAGAACUGGACGCCGAAUGCGCACUAGCCAAUUUCGUGGAUUCCCGUUGCAACUAUAAUCACCUCAAUUCACCUUUUGCAACGCGCAUCGUCAGCGACCUGGACGCUCUGUUCAAUGAGCACAGUGAUUUGUUCAGACUGGAGGGCUGCAUGAGUGCCAAAAAAAAACCGUAACCGAAUUAACAAUGCUCAUAUUGAAACGAAAAUUGUAUGAGUGUGUGAGUGCGAUCGUAUAUGACUUAGACACACAAUAUUGUAUUGAGCGCCAAAGAAUAAAUAAGUUUUGAGCACGAGUAUAUGAUAAUAUUGAAAUUUAGAAUCAUUAUUUUAUUUAAGUUGUCAUUUUGCAUGAGCAUGGCAAGCCCCUUUCAAGAGCUUGAUAUACCCUCUAAAUGGAAAAGGGCAUAGAAAGAGACAGAGUAAGAAAAAAUAGACGCACAAUCAGGCUUCAUAUUCAAAUGCGUGCUUUACGCUUGAACGCCUCAAGUGACGGAGCCGAGCAAAUACGAAGUGUUGACACGAAGAUAUGUUUUGGUUAACUUUUGUAUUCCUCUUUAGGUCUUAUUUAUUCUCAUUCUUUUUACUAAAGGCAGGGAGAUAUGAGAUAUUGAGUGCAUGCGAUCUCCCACUCAGUCAAAACAUUUUAUCCUAUCACUCACUCACUCAGUCUCAAUUCGAGUGCACUCUAUUUUACUAGGUUAUGAGUGCGGCCAUGCAGCUGUCUAGUUCAGACCUACCCGACCUGCACACAAAAUUUCGUGAGAAUCGGUUCACCCGUUUCGGAGGAGUUUGGCAACAAACACCGCAACACGAGAAUUUUAUAUUGUUCAUGCACAUGCAUGAACAUAGAAAUAUGAUAAGUAUGGGAACAUACAUAACAACAACAGCUAGCAUACAUAAAAUAGAUAACACAUGUGAAUGUGUGAACUGUCGAACUAGAAAUAAAAUAUGACUCUGACCCUUA